GUACCCUUAGCUCAGUUAGUUAGAGCAGACGGCUCAUAACCGUCCGGUCGUAGGUUCGAGUCCUACAGGGUACA
RNAcentral lists this transfer RNA (74 nucleotides) under Enterococcus faecium. Its description in RNAcentral is "tRNA-Ile". It matches the Rfam family "tRNA". Rfam says of the family: Transfer RNA (tRNA) molecules are approximately 80 nucleotides in length. Their secondary structure includes four short double-helical elements and three loops (D, anti-codon, and T loops). Lineage: Bacteria; Bacillati; Bacillota; Bacilli; Lactobacillales; Enterococcaceae. The record is from RNAcentral. RNAcentral also lists the same sequence under 1 other name.